RNAcentral lists this ribosomal RNA (427 nucleotides) under uncultured bacterium. RNAcentral describes it as "bacterial SSU rRNA". It matches the Rfam family "Bacterial small subunit ribosomal RNA", at positions 355 to 774 of the family's 1533-position model. The record is from RNAcentral.
UCGGGAAUAUUGGACAAUGGGCGCAAGCCUGAUCCAGCCAUGCCGCGUGAGUGAAGAAGGCCCUCGGGUUGUAAAGCUCUUUUGUCCGGAAAGAAAAGCAUCGGGUUAAUACCCCGGUGUUCUGACGGUACCGGAAGAAUAAGCACCGGCUAACUUCGUGCCAGCAGCCGCGGUAAUACGAAGGGUGCAAGCGUUACUCGGAAUUACUGGGCGUAAAGCGUGCGUAGGUGGUUCGUUAAGUCUGAUGUGAAAGCCCUGGGCUCAACCUGGGAAUGGCAUUGGAAACUGGCGGACUGGAGUGCGGUAGAGGGUAGCGGAAUUCCCGGUGUAGCAGUGAAAUGCGUAGAGAUCGGGAGGAACAUCCGUGGCGAAGGCGGCUACCUGGACCAGCACUGACACUGAGGCACGAAAGCGUGGGGAGCAAACA